GAGGGCUUGGCAAGAUUAAGAGGUAGAUGUUGAAUCUUCCAUCUUUGUGGUGCUUGUUUGUUUCCAUGGAAAUCGUUUUUUUGCCUUGCUUUAGUUUGUCUAUAAUAUGGGUUCUUUGGGCUUUGAUGUGAUGGGGAUUUGGACUUUCUGACCUAAAUCCUAGUCGGACUUUGGCAUUUGAAUUUGAAACCAAACAUGCUCUGCUUCCACUAUAUUAUUCAGCCCAAGAAAACAAGAACUUGUGAUUAGUUUUCUUAUGGUAAUGAUUUGGAAAAUUCUCUUCAAAGAAUUUUUGUGCGAGGAAGUGGUGCCUAAAAUAAACUUGUAGCGUCUAUGGUUCAUUUGAGUAAUAACUUCAGAUUGUAGACACAAAAAUGGUAGACCAAUCUCCUUCUCUGGAGAUGGAGUUGGUUUUCUUACUCUUGUUUGUAUGAACUUUUGCAGGGCUAUAUUGGGCAGUGUAAGCAACUAUGUGGUGAAUAAUGGAACGUGCCCUGUUACUGUUGUGAAGCAGACAGACUAUGAGAGCUAAAUUUCUUUUGCUAAACAGCAUCCUAUCGUUCAUAGGAUAUAUGAGUGGAUUGGAUUCCAU
Molecule: unclassified non-coding RNA, 592 nt
Filed under: Hevea brasiliensis (rubber tree)
Lineage: Eukaryota; Viridiplantae; Streptophyta; Magnoliopsida; Malpighiales; Euphorbiaceae
Source: RNAcentral